RNAcentral lists this ribosomal RNA (255 nucleotides) under Bacillus anthracis (anthrax bacterium). RNAcentral describes it as "partial 16S ribosomal RNA". It matches the Rfam family "Bacterial small subunit ribosomal RNA", at positions 1 to 243 of the family's 1533-position model. The record is from RNAcentral. Lineage: Bacteria; Bacillati; Bacillota; Bacilli; Caryophanales; Bacillaceae.
UUUAUUGGAGAGUUUGAUCCUGGCUCAGGAUGAACGCUGGCGGCGUGCCUAAUACAUGCAAGUCGAGCGAAUGGAUUAAGAGCUUGCUCUUAUGAAGUUAGCGGCGGACGGGUGAGUAACACGUGGGUAACCUGCCCAUAAGACUGGGAUAACUCCGGGAAACCGGGGCUAAUACCGGAUAAUAUUUUGAACCGCAUGGUUCGAAAUUGAAAGGCGGCUUCGGCUGUCACUUAUGGAUGGACCCGCGUCGCAUUA